This 418-nucleotide unclassified non-coding RNA is filed under the name soil metagenome. Its description in RNAcentral is "partial contains 5.8S ribosomal RNA, internal transcribed spacer 2, and large subunit ribosomal RNA". The stretch from base 1 to 120 matches the Rfam family "5.8S ribosomal RNA", at positions 35 to 154 of the family's 154-position model. The record is from RNAcentral.
GAUGAAGAACGCAGCGAAAUGCGAUAAGUAAUGUGAAUUGCAGAAUUCAGUGAAUCAUCGAAUCUUUGAACGCAUCUUGCGCUCCUUGGUAUUCCUUGGAGCAUGCCUGUUUGAGUAUCAUGAGCAAAUCUCAAAGUCAAUUCCUUUUGUUGAUUCAAUUGGUUUUGCUUUGGACUUGGAGGCCUUGCAGAUUUCACAGUCUGCUCCUCUUAAAUGCAUUAGCUGGAUCUCAGUAAUUAUGCUUGGUUCCACUCGGCGUGAUAGGUAUCACUCGCUGAGGACACUGUUAAAAAGGUGGCCAGGAAAAUACUGAUUGAACCGCUUCUAACGGUCUAUUAAGUUAGACAAUUACCCUUAAGUUUGAUCUCAAAUCAGGUAGGACUACCCGCUGAACUUAAGCAUAUCAAUAAGCGGAGGA